Molecule: non-coding RNA, 1552 nt
Organism: Delphinapterus leucas (beluga whale)
Lineage: Eukaryota; Metazoa; Chordata; Mammalia; Artiodactyla; Monodontidae
Source: RefSeq, a predicted model, not a curated record
CACCUGAAAGGUAGUCCCGACCAGUCCCCUGUGGGCUGCCCGUGGUGGCUGGCCGCUUCCCAGGCCAUGUGUGCACCCUGCCGGGAGGAGUGACCCCAGAGAGGCCCUGGGAGGUAGGCUUGCCCUUCUCUGCCCUCAUUAUAGCUGUCAUUUGUCACCAGUCAGGGCAAGCUCAAUGCCAGACCCCUGUGGGUCAGUGCCACCCUCAUUCCCUAUCAGCUGACCCCCUCUCUCCUCCUUGGAACUGCUGAACCCCUGUGAUCCCACGGUUGGCUGAGUGGACUGGACCUGCUUAUCUUACGCUCCCGCCCGGCCGCAGGUGGCUCAGCGGCCCCUCAUCUUUUUACUCUCCUGCUUGCUUCAGGGUUUAGUCCUGAGAAGGCCCUGGCUACAGGCUGGGGGGGCUCGUUUGCUUGCAUCUUUCAGUACUCAGCAGAAUUAGGCACCCCCGAAAGUUGGUUUAUUUGACUGCCACUCAAUAUUUCAUUCUAAUGGAUAACAUGUUCUAACACUAGCACUAGAGAUUAGAGGUGGAAAGGUCUGACGAAGGACCACCCUCUAACGCAUUUUUAAGUGAAAAAAAUUGUUCUUUUGAAAAAGAAGCCCUCCAACCGCACCUUCACGUUCAGCCCUGCUCUAACCGCCACUGGGGCACCUGUUGUGUGUCAGGCUCUGUGUCAGGAGGGAAACGCGGCAGAGAUGCUACUGGCCCUCAUGGAGCUCACCGUCCGCCAGGGAACCAGAUGACAUGGGCGUCUCUAUACCAACACCCAACUUACUGUGGUCCAGAUACUCAGAGCAGAAGCACUAAGUUUUCAUAAGGUAUUUUUGCCCGCAUUGGGUCCUCGUCGCUGCGCGUGGGCUUUCUCCAGUUGCCAUGAGCGGGGGUCACCCCUUGUCGUGGUGCGCGGGGCCUCUCCCUGGGGGGGCCCCUCCCGCCGUGGAGUAUGGGCUCCAGAGCGCAGCCUCAGCAGUUGUGGCGAACGGGCCCAGCUGCUCUAUGAGCCAAGAAGAAGUAAAUGAUAUUUAGAACUGAUACCGACAUCGUGUUAACCUCGCUCUCGUCAUUCUGGGAGGAUCAAGGAGAAUGAUUCAUUAAAAAAAAAAAACAACCCUAAAGACUUCAGUUACACACAUUCACCUUGUUAUCAUUUUUUGACAGUUUUUUUCCCUCAAGUGUCAAAACUAAGAACUAUUUCACCUUUAAAUACUUUCUAUCGUCAACGGCUGCUCUGUUGUGAGGGAUGUGACCUGGGUUCUCAAGGAAACAGUAAUAUAACAGAACUUUCUUUUCAACUGAAUUUGAGAGUAUUAGUUUAUUUUUUAAUCUGUUAUUAUAAAUGCCUUACAAAUGCUGAGUUACUCGGCUUUAUUUUUGUUUUGUUUUUUUUUUUUUUUUUUUUUUUUUACUCGGCUUUAUUUUCUAAUCGUGGGGCUAACAGUUUUUUGGAAAUUCACUAAUGGAGGUGGAAGAGAACUAUAGGCUCCUUAAUCCAUCUCUCAACCCUAACAAGCUGCUCAAAGGAUGAGUCUGAGCUGAGAUGUUAAGGGU